This 21-nucleotide non-coding RNA is filed under the name Caenorhabditis elegans. The record is from RNAcentral. Lineage: Eukaryota; Metazoa; Nematoda; Chromadorea; Rhabditida; Rhabditidae.
UUUUCUUAACUCCAUGCUUCU